CAGUGUUCCAUCAUAUGGGAAGACUAGAAGUGUUCCAGUGUACGGGAAGACUAGAAUUUAUUUACCCAGUUCCCAACUCAUGCACAGCUGGGUUGUUUCCAGCUUCUUGCUGUUACCAUCUAUGCUGCAAUGAAUGUCCUUGUACAUGAUUCAUGGUGCACAAAGCCAGUUCGUAGCUGCAUGGCAUUCUUUGUCAUGGCAAAACAACUCAAAACAUUCUAAGCCGCCCAUGAAGAGGGGUUGUUAAAUCAUUCAGGGGCUCUCCUCCACAAAGCCCACCCACCAAUCCAAGUUAAGGACCUCUUUUCUGCAAGGAUCCCAACAAGAUGCCAACAGCAUGGUUUCUGGUGUUGUGGGACACCCAUGGAGACAGCAAGCAGGACACGAGACACGGGUGUGGUGACAGGUGCAGAGGCAUGAGCACCUGAUGGUCAAGAUGGUCAUUUUGACAUGA
Long non-coding RNA from Nyctereutes procyonoides (raccoon dog), 454 nucleotides. RefSeq lists it as uncharacterized. The transcript is spliced from 3 exons. Lineage: Eukaryota; Metazoa; Chordata; Mammalia; Carnivora; Canidae. The record is from RefSeq and is a predicted model, not a curated record.